CCGGCACGGGUGAGUAAUACGUAUCCAACCUGCCGUCUACUCUUGGACAGCCUUCUGAAAGGAAGAUUAAUACAAGAUGGCAUCAUGAGUCCGCAUGUUCACAUGAUUAAAGGUAUUCCGGUAGACGAUGGGGAUGCGUUCCAUUAGAUAGUAGGCGGGGUAACGGCCCACCUAGUCUUCGAUGGAUAGGGGUUCUGAGAGGAAGGUCCCCCACAUUGGAACUGAGACACGGUCCAA
This 237-nucleotide ribosomal RNA is filed under the name uncultured bacterium. RNAcentral describes it as "partial 16S ribosomal RNA". It matches the Rfam family "Bacterial small subunit ribosomal RNA", at positions 100 to 334 of the family's 1533-position model. The record is from RNAcentral.